This 776-nucleotide ribosomal RNA is filed under the name uncultured Neocallimastigales. RNAcentral describes it as "partial large subunit ribosomal RNA". It matches the Rfam family "Eukaryotic large subunit ribosomal RNA", at positions 22 to 638 of the family's 3401-position model. The record is from RNAcentral. Lineage: Eukaryota; Fungi; Neocallimastigomycota; Neocallimastigomycetes; Neocallimastigales.
UGUGUAUCAGUACAUGGCAUAUCAAUAAGCGGAGGAAAAGAAACUAACAAGGAUUCCCCUAGUAACGGCGAGUGAAGCGGGAAGAGCUCAAAUUUGAAAUCUUAAAGGGUUUCCCUUUACGAAUUGUAGUUUAAAGAAGUGUUUUCUGUUGGAGUUUCGGUAAAAGUUCUUUGGAAUAGGACAUCAUAGAGGGUGAGAAUCCCGUAUUUGACCGUUACUUUCCAGCUGUGUGAUACACUUUCAAAGAGUCGGAUUGUUUGGGAAUGCAGUCCAAGAUGGGUGGUAAAUUUCAUCUAAAGCUAAAUAUUGGCGAGAGACCGAUAGCGAACAAGUACCGUGAGGGAAAGAUGAAAAGAACUUUGAAAAGAGAGUUAAACAGUACGUGAAAUUGUCAAAAGGGAAGCGUUUGACACCAGUGUUGUUUAGUUGAAAAUCAAUUCAAUAGUUUUUGAUUCUAAGUAGUAUUGACUUCAUCAGCUUGCUGCUUUCUUCUCAGAAAUUAUUGAAUGCACUUUUCAGUUAACAAGUCAACAUCAAUUUCUUUUGUUGUAAAAGGGUAAGAGGAAGGUGGCUUGCGCUUCGGCUCAAGUGUUUAUAGCCUUUUAUCUCUGCAGUCGGAGAGAUUGAGGUCUGCAGCGUAGACUCCUUCGGGGUUAGAUACAUUGUGCUAAGCUAUAGCCUUUUCAUAGACAACUUGUUGACUAUGCUCUAGUCUGUAGCUUACUCGCUUAUGCUAUUUUACCUACGCUUAGGAUGUUGACAGCAGUAUAGACUGU